UUCCAGCAACAUGCUACCUUAAACAAACCCAAUCCCAUCUGAUUUUGGAAGCUAAGCAAGUUUGAGCUUAGUUAGUAAUUUGACAGGAGACCACCAGGUUGUAUGUGAGGUUUCCAGGUAG
RNAcentral lists this ribosomal RNA (121 nucleotides) under Pogona vitticeps (central bearded dragon). The record is from RNAcentral. Lineage: Eukaryota; Metazoa; Chordata; Lepidosauria; Squamata; Agamidae.